GGCCCAAAUUUGAGGUAAAGUAGAUCAGAAGGAUCAUGUAACCCUACUAAACUACUCUACUUCGAGUUUGUGCUA
RNAcentral lists this microRNA precursor (75 nucleotides) under Haemonchus placei. RNAcentral describes it as "mir-5928 microRNA precursor family". It matches the Rfam family "mir-5928 microRNA precursor family". The record is from Rfam by way of RNAcentral. Lineage: Eukaryota; Metazoa; Nematoda; Chromadorea; Rhabditida; Trichostrongylidae.